This 686-nucleotide long non-coding RNA is filed under the name Nicotiana tabacum (common tobacco). RNAcentral describes it as "long non-coding RNA (NTAB_LNC000472)". Lineage: Eukaryota; Viridiplantae; Streptophyta; Magnoliopsida; Solanales; Solanaceae. The record is from RNAcentral.
CUGACUUCCCUGAGCAAGAACCAUCUCGACUCGUCUGGCAACAUUAGCAGUCGCCUGAAAAGAAAUCUCACUCCCAGUCUCCUUAGCCAUCUGCAACCUGAUAGGCUGAGCAUGGCCGUUCCUCGUUGUUUUGCGUUUUACGGCCAAAAAAUAAGAAUUUUGCCUGAUUCCCAUAUAUUCGUGUGCUAUAGCCCACGCCUUCCGAAUGGGUCUGGUCCCCCUGACCCCGAUCGCCUAAAAUUAUUCCGGGCCAUCAAAUACGACCUAAGGAACCAUAGUCACCGCCCUGCCAUGGCCGUUCCUCAUUGUUUUGUAUUUUACGGCCAAAAAACUAGAAUUUUGCCCGAUUCGUGUGCUAUAGCCCACGCCUUCCGAAUGGGUCCGGUCCCCGUGACCCCGAACGCCUAAAAUUAUUCCGUCAAAUCAAAUACGACCUAAGGAACCAUAGUCACCGCCCCGCCAUGGUCGUUCCUCGUUGUUUUGCAUUUUAUGGCCAAAAAACUAAAAUUUUGCCCGAUUCCCAUAUUUUCGUGUGCUAUCCUUGCCUUCCGAGUGGGUCCAGGACCCCGGACCCCGAUCGCCUAAAAUUAUUCGGGGCCAUCAAAUACAACCUAAGGAACCAUAAUCACCGCCCCACCAUGGCCGUUCCUCGUUGUUUUGCAUUUUACGGCCAAAAUAGUAGAAUU